AGGAGGCAGCAGUGGGGAAUAUUGCACAAUGGGCGCAAGCCUGAUGCAGCGACGCCGCGUGGGGGAUGACGGCCUUCGGGUUGUAAACCUCUUUCAAUAGGGACGAAGCGCAAGUGACGGUACCUAUAGAAGAAGCACCGGCCAACUACGUGCCAGCAGCCGCGGUAAUACGUAGGGUGCGAGCGUUGUCCGGAAUUACUGGGCGUAAAGGGCUUGUAGGUGGUUUGUCGCGUUGUUCGUGAAAUGCCACAGCUUAACUGUGGGCGUGCGGGCGAUACGGGCAGACUGGAGUACUGCAGGGGAGACUGGAAUUCCUGGUGCAGCGGUGGAAUGCGCAGAUAUCAGGAGGAACACUGGUGGCGAAGGCGGGUCUCUGGGCAGUAACUGACGCUGAGGAGCGAGAGCGUGGGGAGCGAACAGGAUUAGAAACCCUGGUAGUCCG
This 442-nucleotide ribosomal RNA is filed under the name uncultured bacterium. RNAcentral describes it as "bacterial SSU rRNA". It matches the Rfam family "Bacterial small subunit ribosomal RNA", at positions 343 to 797 of the family's 1533-position model. The record is from RNAcentral.